ACGCUGGCGGCAGGCCUAACACAUGCAAGUCGAGCGGAUGAAGGGAGCUUGCUCCUGGAUUCAGCGGCGGACGGGUGAGUAAUGCCUAGGAAUCUGCCUGGUAGUGGGGGAUAACGUCCGGAAACGGGCGCUAAUACCGCAUACGUCCUGAGGGAGAAAGUGGGGGAUCUUCGGACCUCACGCUAUCAGAUGAGCCUAGGUCGGAUUAGCUAGUUGGUGGGGUAAAGGCCUACCAAGGCGACGAUCCGUAACUGGUCUGAGAGGAUGAUCAGUCACACUGGAACUGAGACACGGUCCAGACUCCUACGGGAGGCAGCAGUGGGGAAUAUUGGACAAUGGGCGAAAGCCUGAUCCAGCCAUGCCGCGUGUGUGAAGAAGGUCUUCGGAUUGUAAAGCACUUUAAGUUGGGAGGAAGGGCAGUAAGUUAAUACCUUGCUGUUUUGACGUUACCAACAGAAUAAGCACCGGCUAACUUCGUGCCAGCAGCCGCGGUAAUACGAAGGGUGCAAGCGUUAAUCGGAAUUACUGGGCGUAAAGCGCGCGUAGGUGGUUCAGCAAGUUGGAUGUGAAAUCCCCGGGCUCAACCUGGGAACUGCAUCCAAAACUACUGAGCUAGAGUACGGUAGAGGGUGGUGGAAUUCCUGUGUAGCGGUGAAAUGCGUAGAUAUAGGAAGGAACACCAGUGGCGAAGGCGGCCACCCUGGACUGAUACUGACACUGAGGUGCGAAAAGCGUGGGGAGCAAACAGGAUUAGAUACCCCUGGUAGUCCACGCCGUAAACGAUGUCGACCUAGCCGUUGGGAUCCUUGAGAUCUUAGUGGCGCAGCUAACGCGAUAAGUCGACCGCCUGGGGAGUACGGCCGCAAGGUUAAAACUCAAAUGAAUUGACGGGGGCCCGCACAAGCGGUGGAGCAUGUGGUUUAAUUCGAAGCAACGCGAAGAACCUUACCUGGCCUUGACAUGCUGAGAACUUUCCAGAGAUGGAUUGGUGCCUUCGGGAACUCAGACACAGGUGCUGCAUGGCUGUCGUCAGCUCGUGUCGUGAGAUGUUGGGUUAAGUCCCGUAACGAGCGCAACCCUUGUCCUUAGUUACCAGCACCUCGGGUGGGCACUCUAAGGAGACUGCCGGUGACAAACCGGAGGAAGGUGGGGAUGACGUCAAGUCAUCAUGGCCCUUACGGCCAGGGCUACACACGUGCUACAAUGGUCGGUACAAAGGGUUGCCAAGCCGCGAGGUGGAGCUAAUCCCAUAAAACCGAUCGUAGUCCGGAUCGCAGUCUGCAACUCGACUGCGUGAAGUCGGAAUCGCUAGUAAUCGUGAAUCAGAAUGUCACGGUGAAUACGUUCCCGGGCCUUGUACACACCGCCCGUCACACCAUGGGAGUGGGUUGCUCCAGAAGUAGCUAGUCUAACCGCAAGGGGGACGGUUACCACGGAGUGAUUCAUGACU
Molecule: ribosomal RNA, 1450 nt
Filed under: Pseudomonas aeruginosa
Lineage: Bacteria; Pseudomonadati; Pseudomonadota; Gammaproteobacteria; Pseudomonadales; Pseudomonadaceae
Description: bacterial SSU rRNA
Rfam family: Bacterial small subunit ribosomal RNA
Source: RNAcentral